GGUACAUAUACUAAAAUUGGAACGAUACAGAGAAGAUUAGCAUGGCCCCUGCGCAAGGAUGACACGACGGUGACUUUUCAUCAUCCAAUUUAC
This 93-nucleotide small nuclear RNA is filed under the name Taenia asiatica. Lineage: Eukaryota; Metazoa; Platyhelminthes; Cestoda; Cyclophyllidea; Taeniidae. The record is from RNAcentral.